AGUGAACGCUGGCGGUAGGCCUAACACAUGCAAGUCGAACGGCAGCACAGUAAGAGCUUGCUCUUACGGGUGGCGAGUGGCGGACGGGUGAGGAAUACAUCGGAAUCUACUUUUUCGUGGGGGAUAACGUAGGGAAACUUACGCUAAUACCGCAUACGACCUACGGGUGAAAGCAGGGGAUCUUCGGACCUUGCGCGAUUGAAUGAGCCGAUGUCGGAUUAGCUAGUUGGCGGGGUAAAGGCCCACCAAGGCGACGAUCCGUAGCUGGUCUGAGGGGAUGGUCAGCCACACUGGAACUGAGACACGGUCCAGACUCCUACGGGAGGCAGCAGUGAGGAAUAUUGGACAAUGGGCGCAAGCCUGAUCCAGCCAUACCGCGUGGGUGAAGAAGGCCUUCGGGUUGUAAAGCCCUUUUGUUGGGAAAGAAAAGCAGCAGGUUAAUACCCCGCUGUUCUGACGGUACCCAAAGAAUAAGCACCGGCUAACUUCGUG
Molecule: ribosomal RNA, 492 nt
Filed under: uncultured bacterium
Lineage: Bacteria
Description: partial 16S ribosomal RNA
Rfam family: Bacterial small subunit ribosomal RNA
Source: RNAcentral